Salmo salar (Atlantic salmon) is the source of this 2421-nucleotide long non-coding RNA. RefSeq lists it as uncharacterized. Lineage: Eukaryota; Metazoa; Chordata; Actinopteri; Salmoniformes; Salmonidae. The record is from RefSeq and is a predicted model, not a curated record.
AGAUCAGUGAGGAGGGAGGUGAGAGCUGCAUUCCUGCCCUGUGGAGUUGAGGUCCACGGGAGGAAAGAUCUGCUGCUCGAUUGGUUCCCAAAGCCUACAAAUGACUGGCAGUUGAACAUAUAAUGAAAUCAAGGGGAUGAAUCCAUCUGAAGUCCCUAACGCUGUGCCAAAACCACAGUGAAACAGAGUCACAUGAGAUGGAAUGAACAUCGAGGCCUCGUCACAGGCCACAAUGACUCAGACUUAGAGGACCAACUUACUUCCACACUCACCAAUUUACCCACCCGCUAGCUCUGAGACAAACACUCGUUCUUCUCCAUACUCAAAACUAUUUCUGCACAUUCUGAGAACUUGGUUUACUGCAUCUCAAAAGUGCCACAUGUUGUAUAGCAGAAGAAAGUGAAUCUUGUUUUUGAUGAGGAUACAGGUUUAUCCCGUUCCCACACGUGAAGAGCGAGAACAACAUGAAUGAGGUAUUGGUACAGAGCCAAUAUUGGUCCUUUUUAAGCUCUUAAAGGGAAAAAAUAGCCCUUGUGGUCAACCGAAUCGCAAAUAUUUACCUGGCGUGGUUUACUCUAUUCUUUGGUGGCAAAUGCAGUAGUUUUUUCCAAUAACAUCGUCAAAUUUGAGAGAUAACCUUUCAUAAUAAAAAAAACAGCAAACUGGACAAAUCUGAGGAAAUCUAACAGCAUCCCAGACCGUUAAUUGGCAAUACAACUCGACUCUGCUGCUUGGUAGCUUAAGCAAUGGUAAACUUUUAGAAAAAAAAAAUAUUCGGCUGUCCACGUAGGAGAACCAUUUUUGGUUCCCAUGUGGAAAGGGUUCUACAUAGAACCCAAAAAGGUUACACCGGGAAACAAAAAGGGUUCUUCAAAGGGUUUUCCUAUGGCAACAGCCGAAGAACCCUUUUAAGUUCUACCAUAGCAAUUUGUUUUCUAAGAGUGUACCAUAAAUCAUGUUGUCACAAAGCUGAUUGGUGGAACAAGGGUCAGUGUGACAGAGUUUUACUGAAGUCAUCACAAUUCUUUGGUGACAAAUGAAGCCUUGUUUAUUUCCAUUUGCUAUUAACAAUAAGACACACCUCUAAAUCCUCAAAAUUGAUAGAGAACGUUUUCAUAACACAAUGAAAUAGGACACACUUGAGGAGUAAUUGGUUAUACAACACAGGGCAUCUGAUUGGUAGAUUUAUCUGUAGCGUCAUAAAUAAAAAAAUAAAAACAUCAUCUGAUUGGUGGAAUAACGGCCAGUGCGAGUCCCUGGUUUACAGCCUUACCCCUAGGCGUGCGUUGUGCCAAGAGACGGGACUGACUUAUGGAGCUGUCUUUGAUUGGGCAAGUCUCUGAGCUGGUGAAACGGGUUAUACUGUCCCACAGCAGGGGCAGAACCCAUCACAGAGUUUUACUUUGAAGUCGGGGUGGGGCACAGGCAGGGACGAGGCCCCACAUGACACAAAAUCCACAGGACAACAAUUAAUGACCUGUCAAAAUGUCUCAGUGAUAUAAGUUCCAGAGUACUCAACCAAAACAAUGAUGAAACCAUGCAGGUUUACUACAUUAUUCCAAUGGAAAAGUUCACAAGUUUACAGAGAAUAUUUUCUUCAUGUCAUGUGUCCCAAUCGCAUUCCUUGUCAUACUAUUGCAAAUAAGGAACUCUAUGACUGAGUUAAAAUAGCUGUAAUGACCUAUACUCCACUGAACCACUUAGUGAAUAGUGGGGGUGCAGCAGAGGUUUCAUACAGGUCAUCAGACACAGACACACACAGACAAACAUGCACAAGCACAAACCGCUGACCUUUACGCUGGUAAUGUUUUCUCUCAGUGAAAAAAAAUCCAUAAAAAAAUUGUCAGCAUUACUGGAAAGAAUUACUGUACUAAUACUCCAGUGACUUGAAAUUUGAAGCCAACCUGUUCACAUAGAUUCUUGUCUCAAGGCCCCUUACAUAAGGCAACAAAUGAUUGCAUGGAAAUGUUGAAUAGUAAGGUCAGGUGAAAUAAUUACUAAAGUUCUGUCUUUUUGUUGGGUGACUGUGGAUUAUUCCAUGUUCUGUCUUUGUCUGUUGUCUAUUCAGAGAUCCCACACCCUACUUUAAAUAGUCCCACCCAGUUACCGAUAUUUAGAAAACUGGAAAGACAAGCUUAGCUUACCGUAGAUCUUGCAUUCCUAGACAGAGAAACAGUGUGUAUAAAUAAUGCCAAAAUAUUAUACAAAACAUCAACAACCUCUUUCCGUGACAGACUGACUAGGGGAAUCCAGGUGAAAGCUAUGAUCCCUUAUUGAUGUCACAUGUUUAAUCCACUUCAAUCAGUUUAAAUGAAGGGGACGGGACAGUUUCAAGACGGAUUUUUAAGCUUUGGGGCAUUUGAGACAUGGAUUGUGUAUGUGUGCCAUUCAGAGGGUGAAGGGACAAGACAAAAGAUUGAA